Molecule: transfer RNA, 70 nt
Filed under: Ruficoccus sp. ZRK36
Lineage: Bacteria; Pseudomonadati; Verrucomicrobiota; Opitutia; Puniceicoccales; Cerasicoccaceae
Description: tRNA-OTHER
Rfam family: tRNA
About the family: Transfer RNA (tRNA) molecules are approximately 80 nucleotides in length. Their secondary structure includes four short double-helical elements and three loops (D, anti-codon, and T loops).
Source: RNAcentral
GCGAGGGUGAAUGAGGCAGUCAGCCGGACUCAUCCCCCGGAAUGUGCAGGUUCGACUCCUGCCCCUCGCU